GGUGGAUCACCUGAGGUCAGGAGUUUGAGACCAGCCUGGCCAACAGGUGAAACCCCAUCUCUACUAAAAAUACAAAAAUCAGCUGGUCCUGGUGGUGUGUGUAGUCCCAGCUACUUGAGAGGCUGAGGCAGGAGGAUCACUUGAACUUGGGAGGUGGAGGCUGCAGUGAGCCAAGAUCGUGCCAUUUCACUCCAGCCUGGGUGACAGAGAGGGACUCCAUUUCAAAAACAAAUUUGACAGGGAACAGUCACACAGUUUAGAAAGGAUUAUGCAAACCAGAAUCAAUAGUGACCUGAUGAACCGGGCUUUCUGACGAUUCUAAACCACGGAGGCUGAGGGGCCCAGCUAAACAAUGACAGCACCUCGGGGAAGUGGGUGAGAUGUGCAGCGGGCUGUGGAAGGAGGCCAGAAGGACCAGGGCCCUAGUCCAGGCUGCUGGUGAUGAGAACUAAACAGGGCGCAGGGCGACGAGCAAGUGCUGUAGUCCGAGGAGCGGCCCCUGGGCGCCAGCGCCAUGGGUGGAGGCCGUCCCUCCUAAGGCGCAGCCGGUGCAUUUGGGACCGGGGGAGCAGAUCCCGUGCCUCCCUGGACCCCGGGGUCUUGGGAUCACCCGGCCGCAGAGGCAGAGGCUUCGGCUGCACAGAAACCUGGGGUGGCCGCAGGGAAGCAGCGCCCUCAGGUGACUGGAGAGUGGGUAAGAGAAGCCCCAAGAAGGACCUCGCCCAUCCCCGUAGGCGUGGGACGGCACAGGCCGCCAGGACCCCCACGCACAGCCCAGUCUGCGGGGCGCGACCCCAAGGCCAGCAGCAGAGGACAAGGACGGGGCCAGGGCAGGGGCCAGGGUUGGCAGAGGGCGGAGGGUGGGGAGGGCGCUCUGGGGAGGUCAAGGCCAGGGCUAGGCUUUCAGGGCCAUGUCCUGGCUCCCCGCCCCUCGGGGAGACGGGGGCGGGGAGCGCUGUGAGCAGAGGGGCCCGGGUGGAGAAGGUGCUGCCGGCCAGCGGGAGGGAGGGCAGCGGGGGUGCAGCAGAAGCCCAGGUGGGGACUUGGGGUGGUCGAGGGGACCCUUGGGCUGCAGGGACUGGGGAGGGGAGCAAGGGGUAUGGCUUAGGCAGGUGCCAGGGGACGGUUGGUGCCCUUUAUUCUGAAGGGGGAUGUGCUGCCCAGGGCAGCGGGACCUGGAAUUACAUUUUGAGAUUUCCAGGAAAGUUUCAGGUGGAGGCAGAGGCUGGGCGCAGAGGAAAAUGUGGCAGUGGCAGAGUGUGGGGUGAGAGCCACGAAGAGAGGAGGUCACUGAGGUGGACAGUGGGACAGAGAGAGGGACGGGGAGAGGAACAGGAGUUUCAGAAACGUCCUGGACACAUUGGGCAGCCGUCAGCAUUGCUUUCCAUUCAUGGACAAAGCGUGGGUGCCCAGAAGAGGCCAGAAGCCAGUGCAGAAGCCCAGGCCUCCCUGCCAUCACCCGGUGCUGGCUGAGCUGCAAAUGGCUGUGCAGAGCCUCCUCCAUGCCUCACCCUGGUCUGGACCGGACCACAGGGCCCUUUGGAUCCUUUCCCAGGUCCCACGUCUGACCCACACCCAGAAGCAGCGCUUGGUGGAGUCUGCCCUGAAGAUGCACGUCCAACAAUAUGCAAACACCCAAAAGGUUAUAGGCUGUGCAUUGUGUCACAAGGGAGCACUGUGCAGCCGUGACAGAUGAGUGACAAUGUAGGGUGGUUCCCACGACCCGCUGCUGAGCACGAAGCAGGUGCAGAUGUGUAUCUGCAGCGUGUGCUCUUCAGGUAAGGGAGAUGGGGAGAGAAGCAGUUACUCGGGUGCUCUGGAGGAAGGAAAGAUAAACCAGGACCUAAAGAGAGUUGUUGCCUGCAGGGGCGGAUGGGAGUGGGGCAGAAAGAAGGGAACGGGAAUGGAGUAGCAGGGAUGGGGCGGAGCAACAUUUUUCUAAGGAGACUUUCUGUGAAGCGCCCCAUUCUUAGAAUCACAGUGAUGUUUCAUAGCCCCCCAAAAUAAUGAAGAUCAACCAGAUUGUGGGAGAAAUUCCAAAUGGAUAUAAACAGUAACAAGCAAACUUCACUGUUCAAAAGGAAUAACUUUACCAUCCUGAAUCCAGGGUGAAGGAAAGAAACGAGUAACUGUGGGCCAGGAACAGUGGCUUACGCCUGUAAUUCCAGCACUUUGGGAGGCUGAGGCAGGAUCACCUGAGGUAAGGAGUUCAAGACCAGCCUGGCCAUCACGGUGAAACCCUGUCUCUACUAAAAAUACAAAAAUUAGUUGGGCAUGGUGGUGCACACGCCUGUAGUCCCAGCUACUGGGGAGGCUGAGGCAGGAGGCCCAGGAUGUGGAGGUUGCAGUGAGCUGAGAUCACAUUCAAGCCUGGGCCACAGAGCGAGACUCUAUCUAAAAAGAAAAAAAAAGUAACUUUGGAAAAUAGGAUUUUGAUGGAUACCGUAAGUAAGUUUAAAGACAAAAAGAACUGGACAGAAUACUGGAGAUCAAGCUUGUCCAACUCGCGGCUUCUGGGCUGUGCGGCCCAGGACAGCUUUGAAUGCGGCCCAACACAAAUUUGUAAACUUUCGUAAGACAUUAUGAGAUUUUUUUGCGAUUUUUUUUUUUUUAACUCAUCAGUCAUCAUUAAUGUUAGUGUAUUUUAUGUGUGGUGCAAUACAGUUGUUCAGUGUGGCCCAGGGAAGCCAAAAGCUUGGACACCCCUGCUGUAGAUGGUGACUGUUUUUCACAUGGGUCCAGGCCAGCAGUUCUGAAAUGUAUGUACACACGAGGAUUGACCACACAGGUAAAUCUAAUCUGCAUCGGACAGUGAGAGCCAGAGGGAGGCCAAGGAAAGCCCUUGGUGUUGGGUUGGCUCCAAGGUAUCUGUGUAAACCCAUGGUUUUUACCAUGUAUAUAUGCAGGUAGAUACAGGAAUAAAUGCAGAAGCCUGCCUAUGCUUGGGCUAUUAAGUAUGCAUGUCUUUUCUAGGUCUUUAAGCUCAAAGGGUCUAGAAACGAUGAUAUCCCAGCCACAGUGAGCUCACCUUGCACUCAGAUCUUCGUUUUCUAGCACUAUUCUCCAGCGUAUGAAACUGGCAAUCCUUGGAGAACUGGUUUGUUCCAGGACUGGGGCAGACGAAAUCCUAGCUAAGCCUGGAGUACUUUGUAGACCCAGGAAAUGAGGAUGUGUUUGAAAAAGAUGGGGAAUUGUUGAAAGAACCCAGGGGCCAGCCUGAGGGAGAUCCCAGGGGCCAAACCUGGAAUGAGUCAAUGGCCAUAGCAUUGGUUUAUAACAGCAUAAAAUAAAUGUCCCCAAAUCCAUACUGAUAUCAACAGAUAACUGGAUACGGCCAGGUGGCUCAUGUCUGUAAUCCCAGCACUUUGGGAGGUCGAGGUGGGCCACUGCACUCCAGCCUGGGCGACAAGAGCAAAACUCCUGUCUUGAAAAAAAAAAUUCUUAGUAGAAGCAGGAGACUUCCAGUCAUGGGCCCACUUGGACUCCUCAGCUACGAUGGCUGCAUUCCCAGUGUCGCCCACACCCCUGCCUCCCUGGCCGCCUCCAGCAGGGCUCUGGGUCAAGCGAGAAGAGAGGUCCACUUGUGCGAGGAAGGUCCGUCUUUCUGUCUACAGGCCUGAAGAUGGACCUGGGAGAGCACGACCUCGCCACAACAUCACCAUCCUGAUCAGAGGCGAGAGGGGACAAGGUCAUAGGUGUGGAGAUUUUCAGGUUUUGGGGAAAGCGAUUCUGAGAACUCUGAAGGCUAUUUCCACGGAAAUGAGAAGAAAAAUAUUUUCCAAGGACCAAGUACCCACCGGCCACCGUGGGAAAUGUUUUCACGGCCGCUACACUGAAGUUUCACUGCCACCUAGGGAAGUUGCUAUCACUGUCACACUUCAUGAGUGAGGCGCCUGGCGCUCCAUGACUGCCUGUGGUCACACACAGGAAGGUGCUGGAGCCAGGGGUGGAACUGGCAUUCCUCCAAAGUCAACCCCCCACUCUGGGUGCGGUGGCUGAUACCUGUAAUACCAGCACUUUAGGAGGCCGAGAUGGGUGGAUCACCUGAGGUGAGGAGUUCAAGACCAACCUGGCCAAGGUGGUGAAACCUCGUCUCUACUAAAAAUACAGAAAUUAGCCAGGUGGGGUAACGGGUGCUUGUAAUCCCAGGUACUCAGGAGGCGGAGGUGGGAGAAUCGCUUGAACCCGGGAGGGGGAGGUUGCAGUGAGCUGAGAUCGCACCACUGCACUGUUGCCUGGAUGACCGAGUGAGACUCUGUGUCAAAAAAACAAAACAAAACAAACUGGCUGGGCGCGGUGGCUCAUGCCUGUAAUCCCAGCCCUUUGGGAGACCGAGGCAGGUAGAUCACCUGAGGUCAGGAGUUCAAGACCAGCCUAACCAACAAGGAGAAACGCUGCCUCUACUAAAAAAUAUAAAAAUUAGCCAGACGUGGUGGCAGGUGCCUGUAGUCCCAGCUACUUGGGAGGCUGAGACAGGAGAAUUGCUGGAACCCAGGAGGCAGAGGUUGCCAUGAGCCAAGAUCGCAUCACCGCACUUCAGCCUGGGCGACAGAGCGAGACUCUGUCUCAAAAAAAAAAAAAAACCAAAAAACACAAAGUCAAACCUUACAAUGGACUAGACUGUUGUCUCCUUGAGAGAAGACACGGCUUUCUUUGUCCUUGGCUCCCUGAACCUUGUGCGGUCCCGUCCACACAAGAGGUGCUUAAUAUAUGUGGAAGGAAUGAAUGAAUGUACAUCGAAUGAAUGAAUGAGCACACUUUGGAUGACUUGUAGGCCCAUCACAUGGGUUUGGCUGCAGAGGGUGGCUGAAGCCAGUCUUUAUGACUGCAUUUGUUGUAACCUUCCUGUACUGUGGUGAGGGGUUAGCAUUCACUCACUCAUUCACUCAUUGUAAGAAUAUCACAAAGGGUUUGUUUUUUUUCUCAACCAAUUGAGUUGUCACCAUGAUAACCCACCACCAAAUAUGUUAGUGUGAACUACCUACGAACAGGGAUGUUUUCCUACGUAACCACAUCUAGACAUAGAAAUCGGGAAAUCAGCACUGAUGUAUCAUGAUUAUCUGAUCCACAGGUCCUGUUCGAGUUUCCUCAAUGGCCCCAGCGACGUCCUUUACAGCACAAGAGUCCCUUCCAGGAUCCCUUGUUGCAUUUAGUGGUCAUGUCUCUGCAUUUAGUGUUUGCAUUUAGUGGUCUGUUGCAUUUAGUGGUCCGAGCUGUUCCUUGGAACAGCUUUUCCAUCUUUCCUUGACUUUCAGGACUUUGCCCUUGGAUGAUCACAGGCCAGGUGUCUUGUGGAGCCCCCGCCCCUCACUGCGGGUUGGGCUGACGAUUCCCCCACGAUGAGGCUCAGGUGAUGCCUCUUGGGCAGGAAGAUGGUGAAAGCGACGCAGAGCUCUCACUGCAUCCUGCCAGGGCACACAGCUUUAAUGUGGCCCAUUGGUGGUGAUGUUAACCUUGACCAUCAGAUUAACAUGGCAUCUGCACUAAAGGAAUCAGAUUAUCUGACUUCAAAUUAUACUACAGAGCUAUAGUAACCAAAACAGUAAGGUACUGGCAUAAAAACAGACACAUAGACCAAUGGAACAGAACAGAGAACCCAGAAACAAAUCUAUACAUCUGUAAUGAACUCCCUUUUGACAAAGGUGCCAAGAACAUACGUUGGAGAAAGGAUAAUCUCUUCAACAAAUGGGGCUGGGAAAAUUGGAUAUUCAUAUUCAGAAGAAUGAAAGUAGACCCUUAUCUCUCUCACCAUAUACAAACAUCAAAUCAAAAUGGAUUAAAGACUUAAAUCUGGCCAGGCAACAUGGUGAAACCCCUUCUCUACAAAAAAUACAAAAAUUAGCCAGGCAUGGUGUCAUGUGCCUGUAGUCCCAGCUACUUGGAAGGCUGAGGUGGGAGAAUGGCCUGAGCCUGGGAGAUGGAGGUUGCAGUGAGCCAUGAUUGUGCCACGGCACUCCAGCCUGGGUAACAGAGCCAGACCCUGUCUCAAAAAAAUGAAAUAAUUUUUUUUAAAAAAAGACAAAUCUAAAACCUCACACUAUGAAACUACUACAAGAAAACACUGGGGGCUAGGGGCAGUGGCUCACUCCUGUAAUCCCAGCACUUAACGGAGGCUGAGGCAGGUGGAUCACUUGAGGUCAGGAAUUCGAGACCAGCCUGGCCAACAUGGUAAAACCCCAUCUCUACUAAAAACACACACACACACACACACACAAAAUUGCCAGGCAUGGUGGCACAUGCCUGUAAUCCCAGCUACUCGGGAGGCUGAGGCACGAGAAUCCCUUGAGCCCAGGAGGUGGAGGAUGCAGUGAGCCAAGGUCACACCACUGCACUCCGUCCUGGGUGACAGAGCGAGACUCCGUCUCAAAGAAAAAGAAAAGAAAACAUUGGGGAAACUCCAGAACAUUGGUCAGGGCAAAAAUUUCUUGAGUAAUACCCUACAAGAACAGACAACCAAAGCAAAAAUGGACAAAUGGGAUCACAUCAAGUUAAAAAGCUACUCCACUGCAAAGGAAACAAUCAAAAAUGAAAAGAAAUCCCACGGAAUGAGAGAAAAGAUUUGCAAACUAACCAUCUGACAGGGAUUAAUAACCGGAAUAUAUAAGGAGCUCAAAUAACUCUAUAGGAAACAAUCUAAUAAUCUGAUUUAAAAAUGGGCAAAAGAUUUGAAUAGACAUUUCUCAAAGGAAGGCUUGCAAAUGGCAAACAGGCAUGCAAAAAGGUGCUCAGCAUCCUUGAUCAUCAGAGAAAUGCAAAUCAAAACUACAAUGAGAUAUCAUCUCACUCCAGUUAAAAUAGCUUUUAUCCAAAAGUCAGGCAAUAACAAAUGCUGGCGAGGAGGUGGAGAAAAGGGAACCCUCAUAGACUGGUGGUGGGAAUGUAAAUUACUAUAACCACUAUGGAGAACAGUUUGGAGGUUCCUCAAAAAACUGAAAAUAGAACUACCAGCAAUCAAACUGCUGGGUAUAUGACCCAAAGAAGGGAAAUCAGUCUAUCCAAGUGUUAGCUGCUCUCCCAUGUCCGUUGCAGCACUAUUCACACUAGCCAAGAUUUGGAAGCAACCAAAGUAUCUAUCAACAGAGGAAUGGAUAAAGAAAAUGUGGUACAUAUACACAGUGGAGUACUAUUCAGCCAUUAAAAAGAAUGAGACCCUGUCAUUUGCAACAAUAUAGAUGGAACUAGAGGUCAUUAUGUUAAAGAAAAUAAAUCAGGCACAGAACACAAACAUCACAUGUGCUCACUUAUUUGUGGGAUCUAAAAAUCAAAAUAAUUGAAUUCACGGACAUAGAAGGUAG
This 7295-nucleotide long non-coding RNA is filed under the name Homo sapiens (human). Its description in RNAcentral is "non-protein coding lnc-WDR4-1:4". Lineage: Eukaryota; Metazoa; Chordata; Mammalia; Primates; Hominidae. The record is from RNAcentral.